CUUCAGUUAGCGUAAUGGAUGAUUAAUCGGUUGACUCGUCGAUCUGCAGCAUUUCGUUAACACGGACAGAAUUGUCAAUGUUUUAUCGCUUUUGACAUGUGGAGAAAAAAAGAUUGCCGAAAAAAAAUUAAACGCCCGCAGGGACGAACGAGUGAUGUAAUCAGAAAUUUUGCAACUCCGCCGUUUCAAUUAGUCGCUUUAAUUAAGGAGAUUGAUCCUAAUUUUACUUCUGAUGCAAUAUUGCUGGAAAGAAAUUAAACAUACCUGUGUGUAUGUAUGUGUCAGUACUGAAUAAUAGACAUUUAUAAAAGAAAAUACUGGAUUAAAAAUACUAGAAUACUAGAAGAAAAGAAAACCUGUAAAAAUGAGGCUUAUCUCGCUCGGGAAGUUUCAUAAUAAUUUUUUGCACAUUAUUGCAAUAUAUAUGAUUUAACAGA
Molecule: long non-coding RNA, 437 nt
Organism: Wasmannia auropunctata (little fire ant)
Lineage: Eukaryota; Metazoa; Arthropoda; Insecta; Hymenoptera; Formicidae
Exons: 2
Source: RefSeq, a predicted model, not a curated record